RNAcentral lists this transfer RNA (71 nucleotides) under Azumapecten farreri. Its description in RNAcentral is "tRNA-Gln". It matches the Rfam family "tRNA". From Rfam's summary of the family: Transfer RNA (tRNA) molecules are approximately 80 nucleotides in length. Their secondary structure includes four short double-helical elements and three loops (D, anti-codon, and T loops). Further hydrogen bonds mediate the characteristic L-shaped molecular structure. tRNAs have two regions of fundamental functional importance: the anti-codon, which is responsible for specific mRNA codon recognition, and the 3' end, to which the tRNAs corresponding amino acid is attached (by aminoacyl-tRNA synthetases). tRNAs cope with the degeneracy of the genetic code in two manners: having more than one tRNA (with a specific anti-codon) for a particular amino acid; and 'wobble' base-pairing, i.e. permitting non-standard base-pairing at the 3rd anti-codon position. The record is from RNAcentral. Lineage: Eukaryota; Metazoa; Mollusca; Bivalvia; Pectinida; Pectinidae.
UGCAGGGUAGUGUAGUUGAGCACGUGAGUUUUUGGAGCUCGAAGAGGGAGAUUAAAAGCUCUUUCCUGUAA